Molecule: ribosomal RNA, 245 nt
Filed under: uncultured bacterium
Lineage: Bacteria
Description: partial 16S ribosomal RNA
Rfam family: Bacterial small subunit ribosomal RNA
Source: RNAcentral
CUUAAGUGGCGGACGGGUGAGUAACGCGUGGGAAACCUGCCCUGUACCGGGGGAUAACACUUAGAAAUAAGGUGCUAAUACCGCAUAAGCGCACAGCUUCACAUGAAGCAGUGUGAAAAACUCCGGUGGUACAGGAUGGUCCCGCGUCUGAUUAGCCAGUUGGCGGGGUAACGGCCCACCAAAGCGACGAUCAGUAGCCGACCUGAGAGGGUGACCGGCCACAUUGGGACUGAGACACGGCCCAA